RNAcentral lists this ribosomal RNA (465 nucleotides) under Vreelandella stevensii. RNAcentral's name for it is "partial 16S ribosomal RNA". It matches the Rfam family "Bacterial small subunit ribosomal RNA", at positions 338 to 795 of the family's 1533-position model. The record is from RNAcentral. Lineage: Bacteria; Pseudomonadati; Pseudomonadota; Gammaproteobacteria; Oceanospirillales; Halomonadaceae.
CCUACGGGUGGCUGCAGUGGGGAAUAUUGGACAAUGGGGGCAACCCUGAUCCAGCCAUGCCGCGUGUGUGAAGAAGGCCCUCGGGUUGUAAAGCACUUUCAGUGAGGAAGAACGCCUGGUGGUUAAUACCCAUCAGGAAAGACAUCACUCACAGAAGAAGCACCGGCUAACUCCGUGCCAGCAGCCGCGGUAAUACGGAGGGUGCGAGCGUUAAUCGGAAUUACUGGGCGUAAAGCGCGCGUAGGUGGCUUGAUAAGCCGGUUGUGAAAGCCCCGGGCUCAACCUGGGAACGGCAUCCGGAACUGUCAAGCUAGAGUGCAGGAGAGGAAGGUAGAAUUCCCGGUGUAGCGGUGAAAUGCGUAGAGAUCGGGAGGAAUACCAGUGGCGAAGGCGGCCUUCUGGACUGACUCUGACACUGAGGUGCGAAAGCGUGGGUAGCAAACAGGAUUAGAUACCCUAGUAGUC